This 492-nucleotide ribosomal RNA is filed under the name uncultured bacterium. Its description in RNAcentral is "partial 16S ribosomal RNA". It matches the Rfam family "Bacterial small subunit ribosomal RNA", at positions 29 to 507 of the family's 1533-position model. The record is from RNAcentral.
AGUGAACGCUGGCGGUAUGCCUAACACAUGCAAGUCGAACGGCAGCACAGUAAGAGCUUGCUCUUACGGGUGGCGGGUGGCGGACGGGUGAGGAAUACAUCGGCAUCUACUUUUUCGUGGGGGAUAACGUGGGGAGACUUACGCUAAUACCUCAUACGACCUACGGGUUAAAGCAUAGGUGCUUCGGACCUUUCGCGCAUGACAGAGCCGAUGUCGGAUUAGUUAGUUGGUGGGGUAAAGGCCCACCAAGCCGACGAACCGUAGCUGGUCUGAGAGGAUGAUCAGCCACACUGGAACUGGGACACGGUCCAGACUCCUACGGGAGGCGGCAGUGGGGAAUAUUGGACAAUGGGCGCAAGCCUGAUCCAGCCAUACCGCGUGGGUGAAGAAGGCCUUCGGGUUGUAAAGCCCUUUUGUUGGGAAAGAAAAGCAGCAGGUUAAUACCUCGCUGUUCUGACGGUACCCAAAGAAUAAGCAACGGCUAACUACGUG